Non-coding RNA from Cordylochernes scorpioides, 82 nucleotides. The record is from the annotation of a GenBank genome assembly. NCBI's taxonomy places the organism in Eukaryota, Metazoa, Arthropoda, Arachnida, Pseudoscorpiones, Chernetidae.
UGUCCAAGGAUGGGAAGCGAACCCACAGUGUUCCGCUUACUGGGCAGAUGCCAUGUCCACUUACCAUGCCACAUCCCUGGAC